UAACUUUCAAUAUAUAAUUGCCACAUUGUUAGUGAGGUACCACGUCAUCAUCUAAUAUGAUUAAAUAAUAACAAGAAUGACGUUAAUACACAAAUAUGCUAUAGAGCAAAUUUUGUCCAGUAAAUUCAAAUAUUCAAUUUUAAAUUAUAAAUCAAUGUUAAUUUAGACUAAUUAUAAAUCAAUGUUUAAUUUGAAGGCUUUGAUUGACUUUAGACCCAUUUUCCCUAAUUGAGCUAUAUUCCUUUUAUUUUUUAUGCUAAUUAAAAUUUUUGGGCUUUCGGCCAUUAAUGUAGAUUUUUAUAAUUUUAUAAUAUUGUACUUAAUUACAACAAUUCAAAAAAGAUAAAUUACAAAAUUUCAAGGAAAAAAUACAAAAAAAGCCAAAAUAAUUUAAAAAACAAAAAAUGUAUUUACAAAGCCUCAUAGUUUUGUAAAUGUUACAACUUGGUCCAUUGGACCCAUGUCCGGCCAGAGUCGCCCUACCCUUCACUGCACUGCCACCAAUCCCAUCCACGUCUCCAACCAUACCCCUGCCAUCAUCACCGAGUGCUUCCUUCACUAACUCCAUCAGCUUCCCACGACAAUUGAUGAUUAUAAACAGUUGCAAAGAUCAGGAAAAAAAUAGAGGUUAGCUGCCAAGAUUAAAAAAAAAAUGAGGUUAGCUGCAGUUCUCAAUUUCAGAUUUCCCAAAGCUAGCCUGACAUCAUUCCUCCGCCAUUAAUCACUGACACUCCCUCUGGGCUCCCUCCGCCCCGUCUCAACUUUUUUCCACCAUUUCUCAGACCACUAUCUUCCCCCCUCCCCCGGCGCAACACCAUCUUUUUUUAGGCAUCCCUCAGAACCUUUCGGCUAACCCACAAAUGGAAGCAACGAACAAUACCAAGGUUUCUUGCUUCCGAAACGAAAGGGAAGCUAUGAGCAAAAUCAAUCAUCAAAAUCAGCAAUAUAUAGAAGAAUAAAAAAUAAAAAAAGGAAAAGGAAAAUGGGAAGAGAAAAUCCAUUUCGAGUUGUUAUGUUCUCGGAGCUACGGUGGUUCACUCGCCAAUCGAACGGUGAGAAGGUGGCCACUGAUGAGGAGGUGCACAUACCUCGAAGCCAUGUUGAUCGGACGGAGAAUGGCUGCGACCGGGACCAAGAAAUUUUGAACUAAGAUUUAUUUUUUUUGUUAUUUUUCGGUCAGCUUCUCGAGAAUCCAAACCAAAGGACGAAGAAAGGGUGAGGAGAGCUUCAUUUAAAUGAGAGGACGAUCGGUGCCUGCAAGCGGAGGUGGAGCAAAUAGUGGACGGCGGCUAGUUUUUGAAGAAGUGGAAGGGAGAAAGAAAAAGGAAAAUGAAAAGAAAAAAGAAAAAAAGGGAAUGAAAGACUUAAAAAAAGGAAAAAUAAAAAGUGGUGGGCCGACUUAUUAAAGAAAAGAAGUAACAUUUUUUUUUGGUUAUUUGUUCACGGGAAGAAGAGGAAAAGGUAGAAUUUCAUACCAGAUCCCUGAUCGCUCUGGUUAAUUGCGAUUCAGUCCCUAUGUUUAUAGUUUAAUGUGAUUUGUCC
This 1542-nucleotide long non-coding RNA is filed under the name Gossypium barbadense (sea-island cotton). Its description in RNAcentral is "long non-coding RNA (GBAR_LNC002229)". Lineage: Eukaryota; Viridiplantae; Streptophyta; Magnoliopsida; Malvales; Malvaceae. The record is from RNAcentral.